ACUGGUUGAUCCUGCCAGACCCAACUGCUAUGGAGUUCAGACUAAGCCAUGCAAGUCGAGCGCUUCUCCAUGUAGGAGCGCGGCGAAAUGCUGAGUAACACGUUGCCAAUCUACCCUUUAGAGGAGGACAUGCGCGGGAAACUGCGUGUAAUCCACCAUAGAUGAUAGCUACUGGAAGGUGCUAUCAUUCAAAGGGGUUUGUUAACUAUGGGAUAAACCCGCUAAAGGACGAGGCUGCGGCGGAUUAGCUUGUUGGCGGGGUAGUGGCCCACCAAGGCUACAAUCCGUAGGGGCCAUGUGAGUGGUAGCCCCCAGAAGGAAACUGAAACACUGUUCCUAGCCCCACGGGGCGCAGCAGGCGCGGAACCUCCACAACGCACGAAAGUGUGAUGGGGUGAACUCCAGUGCUACUAGAGGGUAGCUUUUCUAGAGUCUAAAAACCUUUAGGAAUAAGGAGAGGACAAGGCUGGUGCCAGCCCCCGCGGUAAAACCAGCUCUUCGAGUGGUUGGGACUUUUACUGGGCUUAAAGCGCACGUAGCCGGCUAAGUAGGUCCUAGGUGAAAGCAUGCCGCUCAACGGUGUGAAUGGCCUGGGAUACCGCUUCGGCUUGGGACCGGAAGAGGUGCUGGGUACUCAAUGAGUAGGGGUGAAAUCCGUUGAUUCAUUGGGGACCACCGGUGGCGAAGGCGCAGCACUAGGACGGGUCCGACGGUGAGGAGCGAAAGCCAGGGGAGCAAACCGGAUUAGAUACCCGGGUAGUCCUGGCCGUAAACGAUGCGGACUAGGUGUUGGGCUAGCUUUGAGCUAGCUCAGUGCCGAAGCGAAAGCGAUAAGUCCGCCGCCUGGGGAGUACGAACGCAAGUUUGAAACUUAAAGGAAUUGACGGGGGAGCACCACAAGGGGUGAAGCCUGCGGUUUAAUUGGACCCAACACCGGGAAACUUACCGGGGGCGACAGCUGGAUGACUGUCAGACUGAUGAUCUUACUUGACUAGCUGAGAGGCGGUGCAUGGCCGUCGGCAGUUCGUGCCGUGAGGUGUCCUGUUAAGUCAGGCAACGAACGAAACCGGCGCUACUAGUUGCUAGUUUGUCUCUUCGAGGCACACGCACACUAGUGGGAUUGCCUGCGAUAAGUGGGAUGAAAGUGCCGGCCACGGCAGGUCAGUAUGCCCCGAAUCCCCCGGGCUACACGCGGGCUGCAAUGGUUAGAACAAUGAGUUGCGACGCCGAAAGGCGAAGCUAAUCUCCCAAAUCUAACCUCAGUUGGGAUCGUCGGCUGUAACCCGCCGACGUGAACAUGGAAUCCCUAGUAAUCGCGUGUCAUCAGCGCGCGGUGAAUACGUCCCUGCUCCUUGUACACACCGCCCGUCGCUGCACUUGAAUGAGCGUUGGGAGAGACCCUUUCGUCAUGUCAGGUUCGAUCCUCGCGCACGUAAGAGGGCAGAAGUCGUGACAAGGUA
RNAcentral lists this ribosomal RNA (1460 nucleotides) under metagenome. RNAcentral's name for it is "bacterial SSU rRNA". It matches the Rfam family "Archaeal small subunit ribosomal RNA". The record is from RNAcentral.